GGACUCUUAGCUCAGUUGGUAGAGCCGUUGACACUUAAUCAAUGGUCCAGGGUUCGAGUCCCUGAGAGUCCA
Molecule: transfer RNA, 72 nt
Filed under: Paenibacillus odorifer
Lineage: Bacteria; Bacillati; Bacillota; Bacilli; Caryophanales; Paenibacillaceae
Description: tRNA-Lys
Rfam family: tRNA
About the family: Transfer RNA (tRNA) molecules are approximately 80 nucleotides in length. Their secondary structure includes four short double-helical elements and three loops (D, anti-codon, and T loops).
Source: RNAcentral